UGGGGAAUUUUGGACAAUGGGCGAAAGCCUGAUCCAGCAAUGCCGCGUGUGUGAAGAAGGCCUUCGGGUUGUAAAGUACUUUUGUCCGGAAAGAAAUCCUUGGCUCUAAUACAGUCGGGGGAUGACGGUACCGGAAGAAUAAGCACCGGCUAACUACGUGCCAGCAGCCGCGGUAAUACGUAGGGUGCAAGCGUUAAUCGGAAUUACUGGGCGUAAAGCGUGCGCAGGCGGUUUGCUAAGACCGAUGUGAAAUCCCCGGGCUCAACCUGGGAACUGCAUUGGUGACUGGCAGGCUAGAGUAUGGCAGAGGGGGGUAGAAUUCCACGUGUAGCAGUGAAAUGCGUAGAGAUGUGGAGGAAUACCGAUGGCGAAGGCAGCCCCCUGGGCCAAUACUGACGCUCAUGCACGAAAGCGUGGGGAGCAAACAGGAUUAGAUACCCUGGUAGUCCACGCCCUAAACGAUGUCAACUAGUUGUUGGGGAUUCAUUUCCUUAGUAACGUAGCUAACGCGUGAAGUUGACCGCCU
Molecule: ribosomal RNA, 526 nt
Filed under: uncultured bacterium
Lineage: Bacteria
Description: partial 16S ribosomal RNA
Rfam family: Bacterial small subunit ribosomal RNA
Source: RNAcentral